CCCUUAGAUGUUCUGGGCCGCACGCGCGCUACACUGAUAAUGUCAACAAGCUUUACCUUGGCCGAUAGGUCUGGGCAAUCUUCGAACUAUUAUCGUGAUGGGGCUAGAUUAUUGCAACUAUUAAUCUUAAACGAGGAAUUCCUAGUAAGCGCGAGUCAUCAGCUCGCGUUGAUUACGUCCCUGCCCUUUGUACACACCGCCCGUCGCUACUACCGAUUGAACGGUUUAGUGAGGGCCUCGGAUUGGUCUCGGCCCGCUCUUUACCGGGCGGCGCCGUUGGUCGAGAAGACGCUCGAACUUGAUCGUUUAGAGGAAGUAAAAGUCGUAACA
RNAcentral lists this ribosomal RNA (330 nucleotides) under uncultured eukaryote. RNAcentral's name for it is "partial 18S ribosomal RNA". It matches the Rfam family "Eukaryotic small subunit ribosomal RNA", at positions 1470 to 1796 of the family's 1831-position model. The record is from RNAcentral.